GGUGACAAGUGCAUAUUUUUGUUCUUUUAUAUAAAAUCCGGGUCAGUACAAUUAUAUAAAUAACGUAACAUUUGUUCUUUUAACAACUAUUUCUCCUGCGCUAGGGCUUUUGGUUUGAGCGACACCAGACACGUCGCCUCUCCCACGCUUCCCGCCCGUUGUUGCCAGUGUCCCUGUCGCCAGUUCGGAUGUAUACAGCUCCGGCCAUGCACCAACGGCUGCCGAAAUUACGAACCUUGCCAAGAAAGUAUAUUUCAAGAUAUAUUCUACGUGUCUCGUCUCGAAUAAUCAUACUCUAAGUCAUACCAGGCAUCAUCAUCUACGUGCUUAAAAGGGAUGAAAAACAAGAUGAGGAAAUAUUCCUUUAUCGCUAUGCUUCUCGGGGUCACAGUAUUAUGGACUUAAAUUGGUUUUUUAUCCCUCUAGCCAUUUUGAUUAUAUCUCUUUCUAUAAUUAACCCCUCAUAUGAUUCAUUAUUAUUUACACUCAAAAUUUUUUCUCGAUGAUACAUAGACAUCAUAUGUUGAUGAUUAAAUGCUUUCAUCCGAUAUAAAAUUCGAUCCAUGUAUAGAAAACCUAUUUUUACGAUAUCAUGAUAUUCAUUUUUUAAAUCCAUAAUCCUUUUUGUCAUCA
Long non-coding RNA from Musa acuminata AAA Group (dessert banana), 633 nucleotides. RefSeq lists it as uncharacterized. NCBI's taxonomy places the organism in Eukaryota, Viridiplantae, Streptophyta, Magnoliopsida, Zingiberales, Musaceae. The record is from RefSeq and is a predicted model, not a curated record. The transcript has 2 exons.